RNAcentral lists this unclassified non-coding RNA (329 nucleotides) under soil metagenome. RNAcentral describes it as "partial contains 5.8S ribosomal RNA, internal transcribed spacer 2, and large subunit ribosomal RNA". The stretch from base 1 to 120 matches the Rfam family "5.8S ribosomal RNA", at positions 35 to 154 of the family's 154-position model. The record is from RNAcentral.
GAUGAAGAACGUAGCGAAAUGCGAUAAGUAAUGUGAAUUGCAGAAUUCAGUGAAUCAUCGAAUCUUUGAACGCAUAUUGCGCCCCCUGGUAUUCCGGGGGGCAUGCCUGUUCGAGCGUCAUUACAACCCUCAAGCUCUGCUUGGUAUUGGGCCCCGCCAGUUCUGGCGGGCCCUAAAGUCAGUGGCGGUGCCUUCCGGCUCCGAGCGUAGUAAUUCUUCUCGCUCUGGAGACCCGGUUGUGUGCUUGCCAACAACCCCCAAUUUUUUAAGGUUGACCUCGGAUCAGGUAGGGAUACCCGCUGAACUUAAGCAUAUCAAUAAGCGGAGGA